CAGUAGCCGCGGUAAUACAGAGGGUGCGAGCGUUAAUCGGAUUUACUGGGCGUAAAGCGUGCGUAGGCGGCUUUUUAAGUCGGAUGUGAAAUCCCUGAGCUUAACUUAGGAAUUGCAUUCGAUACUUGGAAGCUAGAGUAUGGGAGAGGAUGGUAGAAUUCCAGGUGUAGCGGUGAAAUGCGUAGAGAUCUGGAGGAAUACCGAUGGCGAAGGCAGCCAUCUGGCCUAAUACUGACGCUGAGGUACGAAAGCAUGGGGAGCAAACAGGAUUAGAUACCCCCGUAGUCCCUGUCUCUUAUAC
RNAcentral lists this ribosomal RNA (301 nucleotides) under uncultured bacterium. RNAcentral describes it as "partial 16S ribosomal RNA". It matches the Rfam family "Bacterial small subunit ribosomal RNA", at positions 509 to 807 of the family's 1533-position model. The record is from RNAcentral.